This 433-nucleotide ribosomal RNA is filed under the name uncultured bacterium. RNAcentral describes it as "partial 16S ribosomal RNA". It matches the Rfam family "Bacterial small subunit ribosomal RNA", at positions 29 to 507 of the family's 1533-position model. The record is from RNAcentral.
AACGAACGCUGGCGGCAUGCCUAACACAUGCAAGUCGAGCGAAACAUGCGGGCUUAGUGGCGCAUGGGGGCGUAACGGGGGGGGAACUGCCUUUAAGUCUGGAAUAACUCCCCGGAUGAGGUCCUAAUACGGGAGCUAGUACCGCGACCAAAGUGUUAUCGCAAUUGGGUGGGCUUGGGAUGGAUUGGCUAGAUGUUAGGGUAAACGGCUAUCAAGGGGAGGAGACAUAGCUGGCUUGAGAGGAUGCGCAGCCACACUGGGACGGGGACACGGUCCAGACUCCUACGCGAGGCAGCAGUGGGGAAUAUUGGCAAACGGGGGAAAGCAUGAUGCAGCAAUGCCGCGUGAGUGAUGAAGGCCUUAGGGUUGUAAAGCUCUUUUACCCGGGAUGAUAAUGACAGUACCGGGAGAAUAAGCUCCGGCUAACUCCGUG